RNAcentral lists this signal recognition particle RNA (310 nucleotides) under Cucumis melo (muskmelon). RNAcentral's name for it is "Plant signal recognition particle RNA". It matches the Rfam family "Plant signal recognition particle RNA". Lineage: Eukaryota; Viridiplantae; Streptophyta; Magnoliopsida; Cucurbitales; Cucurbitaceae. The record is from Rfam by way of RNAcentral.
GCCGAGCUUUGUAAUGGGAGCUUGUAACCCAAGUGGGGGCAUUGAAGUGGUUGAAGGUUGGUUCGUUCCACCGUGCAGGGCUUUACUGAGAGAUGAUAUUUGGCCUGCCCGUUUCAAGUUGGGAGAUGGGCCUUGGCCUCUCGACGAAGGCUGAAGAGUCCAUUGCUACUAAAGUGGUGGGUACCGCGCGAGGCUGGUUCACAGAGCAGCGUCACCACCCACUCUCAACGGUGGAAGGAUAACGGGCCGUUUCUCGGUGACCUAAUAUAAUAUUGCACAGUGGGUUGUUCUCUGUCCGACAUCCACUUUU